This is an RNA transcript of Passer domesticus (house sparrow), 4714 nucleotides long. It is a transcript of the gene named cell division cycle 14A, with no coding region annotated. The transcript has 17 exons. Lineage: Eukaryota; Metazoa; Chordata; Aves; Passeriformes; Passeridae. The record is from RefSeq and is a predicted model, not a curated record.
CCUGGGCCGGGCGACACAAAGGCUCCGUAACGCGGUUGCCAGAGCGCCGCCGGUCGCCUGGUAACCGCCCGCUGCCGCUUUAUCCGGGGGCGUCUCCUGGCUGGGGGCGGGGUGGAGCUGGAGUCUCUGCGGGCGCUUGCCCGUCGUGUCCCGGGGCUCUUCUCGGCUCCGCUCCCGCUCCUAUGCGGGCUGCGGCCGCUGCGCUCGCAGCACCCCGGGCCCUGGCGGGCGGCCACUCCGGGCAGCGGGUCGCGUCUCAGCGAGCGCGCCCCGGCCCCGCCGGCGCUGCCCCGGAGCGCCAUGAGCUCGGAGCCGCCCCGCGCCUCGCUGCUCCGGGCCCUCUUUAAGAUGGAGCCGGCGGCGGCCGCCUCCGAAGUGCUGGGGGGAGCCUCGGAGUUCGUGAAAGAUCGGUUGUACUUCGCUACUUUACGAACUAAACCGAAAAGUACCGUAAAUACCCACUACUUCUGUACCGAUGAGGAACUGGUCUAUGAAAAUUUCUAUGGAGAUUUUGGACCUCUAAAUUUGGCAAUGUUAUACAGAUACUGCUGUAAACUAAAUAAGAAAUUAAAGUAUUUCAGUCUCUCAAGAAAGAAGAUUGUGUACUACACCAGCUUUGACCAGCGGAAGCGAGCGAAUGCAGCGUUUUUAAUAGGUUCAUAUGCUGUUAUAUACUUGAAGAAAACACCAGAAGAAGCUUACAGGACACUUUUAUCUGGAUCUAAUCCACCAUAUCUUCCCUUUAGGGACGCUUCAUUUGGGAACUGCACAUACAAUCUUACCAUCUUGGACUGUUUACAGGGAGUAAAUAAGGCCUUGCAGCAUGGAUUUUUUGACUUUAAGACAUUUGAUGUGGAUGAAUAUGAACACUAUGAGCGAGUGGAAAAUGGUGACUUCAACUGGAUUAUUCCAGGAAAAUUUUUGGCUUUUAGUGGACCACACCCGAAAAGCAAACUUGAAAAUGGUUAUCCUCUUCAUGCACCUGAAGCCUACUUUCCUUAUUUCAAGAAGCAUAACGUCACAUCAAUCAUAAGACUAAACAAAAAGAUUUAUGAGGCAAAACGCUUUACUGAUGCUGGUUUUGAGCAUUAUGAUCUGUUCUUCAUCGAUGGCAGCACACCAAGUGACAGUAUAGUCCAGAGGUUCCUGAACAUCUGUGAAAAUGCUGAUGGUGCCAUUGCUGUACAUUGUAAAGCUGGCCUGGGAAGAACAGGAACACUGAUUGCCUGUUACAUCAUGAAGCACUACAAGUUCACACAUGCUGAAGCCAUUGCUUGGAUAAGAAUAUGUCGCCCAGGCUCUAUUAUAGGACCCCAGCAACACUUCUUGGAAGAGAAGCAAGCAAUGUUAUGGCGGGAGGGAGAUCUCAUCCGGUCGAAGCAGAUACAGAGAGGAGUUGAUGGAAACAUUAACAGAGUUCUUAGUGGCUUAAAUGACAUUUCCAUCAGUGACAGUCUGAACAAAGCACAAGACUUGGAUCAGUUCAAGGAGAAUGAUUCUGAAGACAAAGAUGUGGAAGCUCAGAAUGGGAUAACCCAGGGAGAUAAGCUGAAUGCCUUAAAAAGUCGUAGACAGCCUUGUUCUGCUACAACUGGAGCUCUGAGGCUGCAAGACAUGAAACUGAACACCAGGUCAAUAUCACAACACUUCAGACUGAAUACUUCCGGUGGCACAGAAGGAUCCAUAUCUCCUCUGAAGGCCUCCAGAGUGAUGGCAGUCACUUCACCAUCUGCAGAAAGAAUAAGCAGAAUUUCCACAUCCCCUGGCUCUAACCUUAAAAGCGUUUCCAUAAACUCCAGACUAGCCAGUUCUCUAGGGAACCUGUAUGCUGCUUCAGAUGGUGAUGAGAGCAAAAUGACAUCAUCGUCCUCUAGGACAGGUUUUUCUGUAAGCCAUAUCUCCAGUCACCUGAAUGGCAGCUUGCAGCUGCCACACAGAAUAAACCAUGAACUGAACAACAACUUAUACAACAGAAACAGCAGUAGUGGCAGCAGCCUGAGCAGCCCAAGCAGUUUUCCCAGCGCCGUGACAGAUGAGUAUGCACCAGCCUUCCUUUAUGGGCCUUACAGCUCCUCCAGCACGAUACCAGAGGCCAUUCCUAAGUGGAGGACCUGCCCUCUUGUUAGCAGCUCGGUUGUGGCACCACUCACAGUUCAGAAGCCACAUCUCUGUAGCUUGGGAGUAUGAAUUGCUAUUUCUGAGGAUAGAUGACAGUAGGAAAUAAAAUCUCAUUGUUCCAUUGUGGAAUUAAAUUGCAUGUGUGACUGAAAUGUAAUCUGUAUAAACAGAACAUUGAAGUUAGUUGAGGGAACGUGAUUCUCUAACUCAGUAGGUUCUUCCCACUAUGGUAGAUUCUGCUUGACUAAAGCAAGCUCUUCAGAAUACUUAUGCUUUCAGACUCCUUGCUUAAAAAAAUAAUUUUAGCUUCUUAUUCACUACAGUUUAUGUGGAAAUAAAUGCUGAUAUUCCAUGAUCUUAGAAUCGCUGUUCUGCCCUGAGUUUAAAAUUGAGUUUAAACUUUACUUUAAACAGCAGCAGCAGUAACUUUUUUGCAAGGGAGUUCCUGCUUGCUGUCACAUCUUCACCUCUAAUUUCACUGUUUUUCCCUGCUACGUGGGAUAGUAAUAAACUAUGUAUAAUUGAGAUUUUUCAAGUGAGAUAUAGAAACUGUAACAGUUUUUCUAUGAUGAAAUAAGUUCUAGAACAAGAGGACUGUUCUUGUUUAACUAAUUCAGUUUAAUUUCUUCAGGCAUAGAGAUGAAGAGAGAGGAGAAAAACUGUAUAUCAAGCCAGGAAACAAUGUUUGUUUGAGUUAGAUUGAUGCGUCUUUCAUUUGUUCAUGCAUUCUGUUUGCUCUGGAAAAUCAUCCUUUUUAGGUGUUCCCAGUCUUCAAUCCAAUAUGCUUAAAAAAAUUCAGUCCUCAGGAGUUCAGUCCUCUGCUCCUGUUGAGUGUGCUGGAACUAAAAGUCAGUAUACCACAGUCCCUUCAGUCUGGGUAUGUUCAGUACUAAAGCCUUGCUGCUUUGGUGAAGCCUGCUGAGCUCUUCAAAAUCGAUGCCCUUCAUGGUGGAGAAGAACUGAAGAAAAGAAGCUGCUCAUUAAAAGGAGGAACCUUCAAUACAAGGAUGUAUUAAUUCCUUAGCACCAAGAGGAGACUUCUUAACAGGCAGAAAUUUAUUGUUAAUGACUACUGCAGAUGCACUGAAGUUGAAUUUAUGGAAAUUACUAGCCCAUGUUAUGUACAAACUUAAAUUUUUUAUGUUGAGACAGCUUGAAUAUAUUUCUAAUGAGUUUCAUUAAGACAUUUAUUAACUUGUGUACAGUGUUAAAAUAUGUAUUAAGAGAAUAUUUUGGUAAACUAUAUAUAAAAAUUAUGUAAAAACUAGAAUAUAUUUUAAUUUAGGGUCUACUUUGCUACAAAAAUGUGUAUUUUAAAGAAUUUGUACACGUUUAUCAAAGAUACAAUUUUUUUUUAUGAACAAGAGAUUUUUCUUGUUUUAUGGGUCCAUCAUUAUUGCUUAGAGCCUAAUGUAAUUUACUUUUUUACUAAUUGGUCUUCUGGUAAUUUGAUGGAAGUCUAACUAGUGAGAGAUUUGUUAUUACAGUAUCAACUAAAAGCACUUGAUACAUAGUCUGCUUUCCUCUUCUGGCUACGUUUCUUAAGGAAACACAAUGAAAGAAAAAUAAAGGGAAAAUAUUUGUUGAGAUGUGAUGUAAUUACAUCUUCUGCUGCAACAAAGAAGUAAUUUAUGUGAUGACUCAAUUGUACAAUUAACGCUCUUUGAAUUUCUUAAAGGAUUUAUGUUUUGUUUUCAGUGUAGAGCGUUAACUUUUCCUAUGCAAUAUAUGCUGCAAAAAUGAAGGCAGACCAAACUGAAGUUGGUAAAAAUGUACAAUGAAUUAGGUAGCACUGCAUACAUUUGGCAGUAUGUGUACAAUUUCCUUAGCAACACACAGUAUAUGUUGGACAUACAUUAAAUUUUUAUCUAUCAAUUGGAUGCUUCAUAAACCUGUACAUUUGUUGUGAAGCAUAUUGCUGAGGUAGCCUCUGUAUCAUGGAAGGUUUUUGUCAUAGUAAAGAUGCUCUUUACUCUGUGGAACACACAGGUCAGUCAGAUGUGAUUAGGAAUGAAAUGGUGUUACAGGGAAGUACUAAAAAGAUCAUGUGUAGAAUUUUCAGAACUCACAAGUGCAUGGUAAGGAAAAGGAUGUAAGCAACGGUGAGGGUUUUAUUUGCCCCUCAUGUGCAAGACAAAAACAAGACAGAUUGGUUUCCUGUUUGUUUUUCCAAUAUCUGCCGAAACUUGAAAAUAAAACUUAGUCCAGUUGUCAGUCUUUGUUCCUGAAGACCUAUGAAUACCCUGCAUUUGCUUUACACAAAUUGCUAUGGAAAGUUGUACUGAAAGUGUUCAAAAGCAAUACUGAGAGCAGCUAUAAAAAUCAAAAUCACUGACUAAAAUUUACAUGCAAUACUGUACAUUUUUGCAACUGUGUAUAUGUAAAAUAUACACACAAAGUAGCAUAUGUGUGUAUAUAUAUACUAUAUACUGUAUAUGAAUUAUAGAUUAAUAAGGUAAUUCUACCUCUCAUAAAGAAUUUUCUCAUUUACUUUGUUAUAAAUAGUUUUCUUUAAUAAAAUACUGAUUAAUUUUGAAAUGUAGAUAUAUAUAUAUAUAUACAGCUAAUUGAUAAUAAAAUGCCUGUAUAAGCCAGC